GCCUUGGUAGCUCAAUUGGCUAGAGCGUGGGACUUUUAUCCGAUCAGAUUGCGGAAUCCCAAGGUUGCGGGGUAAGUGCAUAUCAACUCCAGGUCA
Molecule: transfer RNA, 96 nt
Filed under: Annulohypoxylon maeteangense
Lineage: Eukaryota; Fungi; Ascomycota; Sordariomycetes; Xylariales; Hypoxylaceae
Description: tRNA-Lys
Source: RNAcentral